RNAcentral lists this ribosomal RNA (767 nucleotides) under Micrococcaceae bacterium. Its description in RNAcentral is "bacterial SSU rRNA". It matches the Rfam family "Bacterial small subunit ribosomal RNA", at positions 43 to 824 of the family's 1533-position model. Lineage: Bacteria; Bacillati; Actinomycetota; Actinomycetes; Micrococcales; Micrococcaceae. The record is from RNAcentral.
CGUGCUUAACACAUGCAAGUCGAACGAUGAUCCCAGCUUGCUGGGGGAUUAGUGGCGAACGGGUGAGUAACACGUGAGUAACCUGCCCUUGACUCUGGGAUAAGCCUGGGAAACUGGGUCUAAUACCGGAUACGACCAUCUGGCGCAUGUCAUGGUGGUGGAAAGCUUUUGUGGUUUUGGAUGGACUCGCGGCCUAUCAGCUUGUUGGUGGGGUAAUGGCCUACCAAGGCGACGACGGGUAGCCGGCCUGAGAGGGUGACCGGCCACACUGGGACUGAGACACGGCCCAGACUCCUACGGGAGGCAGCAGUGGGGAAUAUUGCACAAUGGGCGCAAGCCUGAUGCAGCGACGCCGCGUGAGGGAUGACGGCCUUCGGGUUGUAAACCUCUUUCAGUAGGGAAGAAGCGAAAGUGACGGUACCUGCAGAAGAAGCGCCGGCUAACUACGUGCCAGCAGCCGCGGUAAUACGUAGGGCGCAAGCGUUAUCCGGAAUUAUUGGGCGUAAAGAGCUCGUAGGCGGUUUGUCGCGUCUGCUGUGAAAGACCGGGGCUCAACUCCGGUUCUGCAGUGGGUACGGGCAGACUAGAGUGCAGUAGGGGAGACUGGAAUUCCUGGUGUAGCGGUGAAAUGCGCAGAUAUCAGGAGGAACACCGAUGGCGAAGGCAGGUCUCUGGGCUGUAACUGACGCUGAGGAGCGAAAGCAUGGGGAGCGAACAGGAUUAGAUACCCUGGUAGUCCAUGCCGUAAACGUUGGGCACUAGGUGUG